This 190-nucleotide unclassified non-coding RNA is filed under the name Rhizobium sp. I111. RNAcentral describes it as "partial miscellaneous RNA". Lineage: Bacteria; Pseudomonadati; Pseudomonadota; Alphaproteobacteria; Hyphomicrobiales; Rhizobiaceae. The record is from RNAcentral.
GGGGAACCUGCGGCUGGAUCACCUCCUUUCUAAGGAAGCUGUGGAAUUGGUAAGACGAUCGGCCUGAUCUUCGGAUCUCCCCGAUAUGAACCUUCCCGUGCUUUUUAGAACAUAGAUGGCACCAGUCAGGUGACCAUCGAAACGCAAUACGCCACGGAAAUGCUUCGGCAUUCGGAUGGUAUGGCGAGCU